This is a non-coding RNA of Xyrichtys novacula (pearly razorfish), 108 nucleotides long. The record is from the annotation of a GenBank genome assembly. NCBI's taxonomy places the organism in Eukaryota, Metazoa, Chordata, Actinopteri, Labriformes, Labridae.
CUGGCUGCAAACUGCGGAAUGGAUUUCCUGAACGGAGGUGUGUCUCAAUAAGACACAGGGAUAAAACACGCCCCCAUUCUGGGAAUCCAUUCCGUAGUUUGCAGCCAG